RNAcentral lists this long non-coding RNA (232 nucleotides) under Ornithorhynchus anatinus (platypus). Its description in RNAcentral is "lncRNA (ENSOANG00000043780.1)". Lineage: Eukaryota; Metazoa; Chordata; Mammalia; Monotremata; Ornithorhynchidae. The record is from RNAcentral.
CUCGUUUACUGCGCAUAAGGAAGCAAAGGUAAACCACUUCCAUAUUUUUACCAAGGAAACUGUAUGGAUACACGAGGAAAAUGAUUGCAGACAGAGGUUGGCCGUUCUGGGAGAGAUGUGUCUACGGGCGUCGCUAUGUGUCAGAGACGACUCAACGGCUUAAGACAGCAACAGACCUGACACACGACACAGGACCCCCACCUCUGGCCCGAACCUGAGGCCUGUGGGCCUC